Mycena galericulata is the source of this 96-nucleotide non-coding RNA. Lineage: Eukaryota; Fungi; Basidiomycota; Agaricomycetes; Agaricales; Mycenaceae. The record is from the annotation of a GenBank genome assembly.
UUGGGUGUGGUGCACGGUGCACAGCAGCAGAUAAUGGCCAAAUAUAUCUGAAACCUAUACCGGCUGCAGUCCGGGGUUCGACUCCCCGCACCCGAA